GAAGUGGGCUGGACGGUCGCUGCUGUGAAAGUCUCCGUGACUGAAACAGGGGAGGAAAGUCCGGGCUUCAUAGGGCAGGGUGCCAGGUAACGCCUGGGCGGUGUAAACCGACGGCAAGUGCAGCAGAGAGUAGACCGCCUCAUUCGUGAGGUAAGGGUGAAAGGGUGCGGUAAGAGCGCACCGCGUGUCUGGUAACAGUUCACGGCAAGGUAAACCCCACCAGAAGCAAGACCAAAUAGGAAUCCUGAGGCACGGCCCGUGCUGGAUUCGGGUAGGUCGCUUGAGCGUACGAGUGAUUGUACGCCUAGAGGAAUGAUCGUCCUCGACAGAACCCGGCUUACAGGCCCACUUCCCAG
This 356-nucleotide RNase P RNA is filed under the name Acinetobacter sp. 2JN-4. Its description in RNAcentral is "RNase P RNA component class A". It matches the Rfam family "Bacterial RNase P class A". From Rfam's summary of the family: Ribonuclease P (RNase P) is a ubiquitous endoribonuclease, found in archaea, bacteria and eukarya as well as chloroplasts and mitochondria. Its best characterised activity is the generation of mature 5'-ends of tRNAs by cleaving the 5'-leader elements of precursor-tRNAs. Cellular RNase Ps are ribonucleoproteins. Lineage: Bacteria; Pseudomonadati; Pseudomonadota; Gammaproteobacteria; Moraxellales; Moraxellaceae. The record is from RNAcentral.